AGGUUGUGGCCUUGAGCCGUGGCUUUCGGAGCUAACGCGUUAAGUAGACCGCCUGGGGAGUACGGUCGCAAGAUUAAAACUCAAAUGAAUUGACGGGGGCCCGCACAAGCGGUGGAGCAUGUGGUUUAAUUCGAUGCAACGCGAAGAACCUUACCUACUCUUGACAUCCAGAGAACUUUCCAGAGAUGGAUUGGUGCCUUCGGGAACUCUGAGACAGGUGCUGCAUGGCUGUCGUCAGCUCGUGUCGUGA
Molecule: ribosomal RNA, 250 nt
Filed under: Vibrio sp. a3p3
Lineage: Bacteria; Pseudomonadati; Pseudomonadota; Gammaproteobacteria; Vibrionales; Vibrionaceae
Description: partial 16S ribosomal RNA
Rfam family: Bacterial small subunit ribosomal RNA
Source: RNAcentral